This 433-nucleotide ribosomal RNA is filed under the name uncultured bacterium. RNAcentral's name for it is "partial 16S ribosomal RNA". It matches the Rfam family "Bacterial small subunit ribosomal RNA", at positions 29 to 507 of the family's 1533-position model. The record is from RNAcentral.
AGCGAACGCUGGCGGCAGGCCUAACACAUGCAAGUCGAACGAACUCUUCGGAGUUAGUGGCGGACGGGUGAGUAACACGUGGGAACGUGCCUUUUGGUUCGGAAUAACUCAGGGAAACUUGUGCUAAUACCGAAUGUGCCCUUCGGGGGAAAGAUUUAUCGCCAUUAGAGCGGCCCGCGUCUGAUUAGCUAGUUGGUGAGGUAACGGCUCACCAAGGCGACGAUCAGUAGCUGGUCUGAGAGGAUGACCAGCCACACUGGGACUGAGACACGGCCCAGACUCCCACGGGAAGCAGCAGUGGGGAAUCUUGCGCAAUGGGCGAAAGCCUGACGCAGCCAUGCCGCGUGAAUGAUGAAGGUCUUAGGAUUGUAAAAUUCUUUCACCGGGGACGAUAAUGACGGUACCCGGAGAAGAAGCCCCGGCUAACUUCGUG